AAGCAUUUGCUCUUUUAAUAUUUCUCCAGUAGGUUUCGUGAAGGAGAAAGCCUCC
This 55-nucleotide small nuclear RNA is filed under the name Oncorhynchus kisutch (coho salmon). RNAcentral describes it as "U7 small nuclear RNA (ENSOKIG00005002360.1)". It matches the Rfam family "U7 small nuclear RNA". From Rfam's summary of the family: Animal histone pre-mRNAs are spliced by a different mechanism than nuclear pre-mRNAs and self-splicing introns. Lineage: Eukaryota; Metazoa; Chordata; Actinopteri; Salmoniformes; Salmonidae. The record is from Rfam by way of RNAcentral.